RNAcentral lists this ribosomal RNA (822 nucleotides) under Neurospora calospora. RNAcentral describes it as "LSU rRNA". It matches the Rfam family "Eukaryotic large subunit ribosomal RNA", at positions 74 to 929 of the family's 3401-position model. Lineage: Eukaryota; Fungi; Ascomycota; Sordariomycetes; Sordariales; Sordariaceae. The record is from RNAcentral.
AUUGCCCUAGUAACGGCGAGUGAAGCGGCAACAGCUCAAAUUUGAAAUCUGGCUUCGGCCCGAGUUGUAAUUUGUAGAGGAAGCUUUUGGUGAGGCACCUUCUGAGUCCCCUGGAACGGGGCGCCAUAGAGGGUGAGAGCCCCGUAUAGUCGGAUGCCGAUCCAAUGUAAAGCUCCUUCGACGAGUCGAGUAGUUUGGGAAUGCUGCUCAAAAUGGGAGGUAAAUUUCUUCUAAAGCUAAAUACCGGCCAGAGACCGAUAGCGCACAAGUAGAGUGAUCGAAAGAUGAAAAGCACUUUGAAAAGAGGGUUAAAUAGCACGUGAAAUUGUUGAAAGGGAAGCGUUUGUGACCAGACUUGCGCCGUUCCGAUCAUCCGGUGUUCUCACCGGUGCACUCGGGACGGCACAGGCCAGCAUCGGUUUUGGCGGGGGGACAAAGGCCCUGGGAACGUAGCUCCUCCGGGAGUGUUAUAGCCCAGGGCGUAAUGCCCUCGCCGGGACCGAGGUUCGCGCAUCUGCAAGGAUGCUGGCGUAAUGGUCACCAACGACCCGUCUUGAAACACGGACCAAGGAGUCAAGGUUUUGCGCGAGUGUUUGGGUGUAAAACCCGCACGCGUAAUGAAAGUGAACGUAGGUGAGAGCUUCGGCGCAUCAUCGACCGAUCCUGAUGUAUUCGGAUGGAUUUGAGUAAGAGCGUUAAGCCUUGGACCCGAAAGAUGGUGAACUAUGCUUGGAUAGGGUGAAGCCAGAGGAAACUCUGGUGGAGGCUCGCAGCGGUUCUGACGUGCAAAUCGAUCGUCAAAUCUGAGCAUGGGGGCGAAAG